Puntigrus tetrazona (Sumatra barb) is the source of this 416-nucleotide long non-coding RNA. RefSeq lists it as uncharacterized. NCBI's taxonomy places the organism in Eukaryota, Metazoa, Chordata, Actinopteri, Cypriniformes, Cyprinidae. The transcript is spliced from 5 exons. The record is from RefSeq and is a predicted model, not a curated record.
UGUAGGUUGAGGAAGCGAGUAGGCUCAGGAAUUGCGCUCAGGCACUUUCUCGACCGCCUAAACUGGGUCCUUCGUUCCCUCUGAGAGACUCUGGUGACCGUCCACGUGGAGAUGAUUAAGUCGAAACGAGGGUCAUCGUGAGCUCUUAAAGAGUGAAAGCAGCAGGAAAUGGCUGGUGCACCGUGUCACGUGUUAACACCAUGAGGACCGGGAGAAACGUGUGCUUUUUGAGCUCCAGGUGAGCAGACCUGCAGCAUGGACGAGGUUAUGUGACGCCUGCUGUGCAGGGUCUGUAUUCAAGGAGUGAUCCUUUCUAGCGGAGGUAACUUCCCCAGCAUUCAAAGACUAGUGACGCUGUUUUCUGCGCGUGUGAAUCUGCGCUACAUUCUUUUAUAAAUAAAACCUUCUGCUUAACA